This 253-nucleotide ribosomal RNA is filed under the name uncultured bacterium. RNAcentral describes it as "partial 16S ribosomal RNA". It matches the Rfam family "Bacterial small subunit ribosomal RNA", at positions 524 to 776 of the family's 1533-position model. The record is from RNAcentral.
UACGUAGGGCGCAGGCGUUAAUCGGAAUUACUGGGCGUAAAGCGUGCGCAGGCGGUUUGCUAAGACAGGUGUGAAAUCCCCGGGCUUAACCUGGGAACUGCGCUUGUUACUGGCAGGCUUGAGUGUGGCAGAGGGGGGUGGAAUUCCGCGUGUAGCAGUGAAAUGCGUAGAUAUGCGGAGGAACACCGAUGGCGAAGGCAAUCCCCUGGGCCUGCACUGACGCUCAUGCACGAAAGCGUGGGGAGCAAACAGG